GAUGAAGAACGUAGCGAAAUGCGAUAAGUAAUGUGAAUUGCAGAAUUCAGUGAAUCAUCGAAUCUUUGAACGCACAUUGCGCCCCCCAGUAUUCUGGCGGGCAUGCCUGUUCGAGCGUCAUUUCAACCAUCAAGCCCUGCUUGUGUUGGGGUCCUGCGGCUGCCCGCAGGCCCUGAAAACCAGUGGCGGGCUCGCUAGUCACACCGAGCGCAGUAGCACAUCUCGCUCAGGGCGUGCGGCGGGCUCCAGCCGUUAAAGCACCCACCUUUCGCAAGGUUGACCUCGGAUCAGGUAGGAAUACCCGCUGAACUAAAGCAUAUCAAUAAGCGGAGGA
Molecule: unclassified non-coding RNA, 334 nt
Filed under: soil metagenome
Description: partial contains 5.8S ribosomal RNA, internal transcribed spacer 2, and large subunit ribosomal RNA
Rfam family: 5.8S ribosomal RNA (bases 1-120)
Source: RNAcentral